ACAUAGGGUGCAAGCGUUGUCCGGAAUUAUUGGGCGUAAAGAGUUCGUAGGUGGUUCGUUACGUCGGAUGUGAAAAUCUGGGGCUCAACCCCAGACCUGCAUUCGAUACGGGCGAGCUAGAGUUUGGUAGGGGAGACUGGAAUUCCUGGUGUAGCGGUGGAAUGCGCAGAUAUCAGGAGGAACACCAAUGGCGAAGGCAGGUCUCUGGGCCAAUACUGACACUGAGGAACGAAAGCGUGGGGAGCGAACAGG
RNAcentral lists this ribosomal RNA (252 nucleotides) under uncultured bacterium. RNAcentral describes it as "partial 16S ribosomal RNA". It matches the Rfam family "Bacterial small subunit ribosomal RNA", at positions 525 to 776 of the family's 1533-position model. The record is from RNAcentral.